Lactuca sativa (garden lettuce) is the source of this 2807-nucleotide non-coding RNA. Lineage: Eukaryota; Viridiplantae; Streptophyta; Magnoliopsida; Asterales; Asteraceae. The record is from RefSeq and is a predicted model, not a curated record.
CCACUCUCUUCCUUUUGUUUAAACCUUUCUUAAUUCUUACAUAUUCUCUGAUUCCUUUCUAAUGUCAGAAAUGCACCAUGGUUGGGCGAGUUUUAAUGCUACUUCACAAGGGGAUUGAAGCAUCCAACAUAUUGGCUAUGACAUUCACCACAAUAGCUGCUUUAGAAAUGAGGGACACGAUUGGAGUGACUGAAAAGACAACAGCAAAAGAACUCAUGAUCAUCCCCUUCCAUUCAUUCUCAUUGCAACUUUGUCGCUUACAUGCUGACAAGGUAGGUCGAACACCAGAGUUUUUGGUGUAUGGACAGGGACAAUAAAGAAAGGCAAUCAUUGAAGUUGUUCGUCUCUCAGAGAGUGGAAAUAAAAUACAGAUUUCAGAUUCUGAUGGCAAACUUAGUGAGGAGUCUAGUGUCACCAGAUUGAGAAAGUGGUUAUGCGGUUAAGAACUUUGGGUACAUUUUUAAAUGGUUUAACAGGUUCUCUACAUCUAUUAAUUUAUCUAUCUUCUAGAUUAGACUGCUCACAUUGUUAUUGUUUCCAAUAUAAUAUAAUAUAAUUCCAAAAUUCAGAGAGUUAGCCUACCUCAUGCUCUUGAAUUUCGUAAAGAGUUGUCCAAGCUUCCAGAUAUGGACCGGUUGUUGGCGUGCAUCUUUUCUUACAGGUAAAAUGAUAAACACCCUAGUUGGUUAAAUAUAUAAUGUAUCAUGAUGUUGGCUAUUCAUGUUGAUAUGAAGCAGUGAAGCUAGUGGUAGGAAUUCGAGCAAAGUGGUUCUGUAUGAGGAUGCAUCAAAGAAACAACUUGAACAGUUCAUAUUGGUUCUCAGUGGGUGUGAAGUAAUUAUAAAUGCAUGCUCCUUGCUAGGUGUCAUCCUAGAAAACACUGAUUCUAGACUGCUACAUCACCUGCUUGUAGAAUUGUUACAGAUAUCGAGUUUAGUAUGAGAAAGCAUUUGAAGGAACAGAGAACACUUCUUGGAGAUCCAUCGAUCAAUUAUGUUACUAUUGGAAAGGAUACAUAUCUUCUUGAAGUAGCUGAAAGUUUGUCUGGUAGCGUUCCUUGUGAGUAUGAGUGUCGAUCAUCUAAGAAGGUUGGUUGGUUUAGAGUAUAGUUAAUUUUAGUGUUGUGUGUGUAAGAAGGUCGAUUCAGAUUAAUCAUGAAUAUGGAUGGAUGUGCAAGGUUUUGUCCGAUACUGGACCCCUGAAAUUAGGAAUUUGAUGAGGAACCUGUUAGAAGCUGAAUCUGAGAAGGAGUCCAAGCUGAAAAGCAUCAUGCAGAGGGUGAUUGGGCGGUUUUGUGAGCAUCAUGUGAGCUGGAGACAGUUGGUUUCUAUAGCUGCAGGUGUUUAUAUUGAUGCAAAAAGUCUAGGGCAUCCUGUGCUUGGAAGUGAUAGUCUAGGAGGAGGAGGGAAUACCUUUUUCCCAAAUGAUGUUUAUAUUGGUGGGGCGGAUCAUGUCCAAUAAAACACUAACUAAUCACCACCUAACAAAACUGUUUCCACUUUCCACAUCUUUGAAGUUUGAACACACAUAAAUCAAAUCCCAUCAAGACACGGAUUGAGCUUGCAAAAGUGUGUACGACCAACCACACGCAACCACCCUGGGUACACACCCUUCUUGCAGACCAACUUCAGAUGGAAUAUUCCGAUCAACUACAUCACCAACUCCAAGCUGCCCAUACUUAUUCCAUCCCCAACAGAACAACUUCCCAUCAUUAUAAAAAAAUCAAUUACUUAAGCGUCCAACCAUACUGAGUACAUGUUUUUUUUAAAAAUUAUUUUUACAGUUUUACGGUACCUGUAACAACAACACUGUGAUGGGCCACACAAGAUACCACACUUGCGUGUUCGUUUUCCAGACUUGGAGCAUCUAAAAGGUGUGGCGAUGUCUAACAAAAAACAAGACAAUAUCUUUGUGAGGAUGGGUGCAAAAGACCAUAUGAUGGCAGGCCAUGUGAUUUUUAUGAUGCAAAGAGAGAGCUUCUGUGAACAGAACCUGUUACAAUGGAUGCUGGUGAAAGAUACAUAUUAUGAUGCAAAGUAUAUGAAAGAUAAAAAUUAUGAGGAGACUAACUAUGUUCCAAUUAAACAUGGGAGUCGUGUUGUACUUAUGAUUAACAUGUAUGCAAUGUAAUCUCUCUUGCUUAGUUGCUUCUUGCCCUUUGAUAAGUGGUAUCUUACCCUAGCCUAUGUUAACAUUUUAACGGAAGUCAGAACUCAGAAGCUAUUUAUAUGCAUAUUGUUUUAUCUUUUUCAAAGUAAAUAAGAUAAAUAAUUAUGUAUUUGUUUUUGACAAAUUGGAUUUGUGAUUUGGAAAUUGUAAAUCUCAGAUUAGGGGGGACACCUUCAAUGGAACUGAUGAUUGCUGCUGGAAAGGUUGUUCCUAUUUUAUAGUUGGAACAUGGAGUAGCUAUUUUUAGAGUGUAUACAGGCUCAUUCAUGAAUUCUCUUGAUAUGGCAGGUUUGUUAAGAUCAUUUUGUUUUCUGAUACAAAAAAGUGGCUAAUAUCUUUGCUACUGUUGAAUACAAGGUUGAUCCUACUACAUGGCCAAUAAUGAUCUUUAGGGUCUGCUAGAUGGAUUGGAGAUUGUAGUUAAGCUUCUAUCUAAGACUUCACGCCAAGGACUUGAUGAAUUUAAGCUAGCAAUGUUUUACUUGAUUUGGACAUGAAGCCUAAGAUAUCAUACUUUGGCAUGGCUAGAUGCUUUGGUGGAAAUGAGACUCAAGCAAAAGAAAACACACAGAGAGUUAUUGGCACAUAGUAAGCUAGAUAACGCAAUUGUAUAUAAAUUCUGCUUCUCUUGAGUUCAU